Molecule: transfer RNA, 72 nt
Filed under: Camelus bactrianus (Bactrian camel)
Lineage: Eukaryota; Metazoa; Chordata; Mammalia; Artiodactyla; Camelidae
Also listed under: 2 other names
Rfam family: tRNA
About the family: Transfer RNA (tRNA) molecules are approximately 80 nucleotides in length.
Source: Rfam by way of RNAcentral
GUGGGUAUAGCUAAGUGGUAGAGCCCAUGCUUAGCAUGUACAAGGUCCUAGGUUCAAUCCCCAAUACCUACA